Molecule: ribosomal RNA, 497 nt
Filed under: uncultured bacterium
Lineage: Bacteria
Description: partial 16S ribosomal RNA
Rfam family: Bacterial small subunit ribosomal RNA
Source: RNAcentral
GAUGAACGCUGGCGGCGUGCCUAAUACAUGCAAGUCGAGCGAACAGACGAGGAGCUUGCUCCUCUGACGUUAGCGGCGGACGGGUCAGUAACACGUGGAUAACCUACCUCUAAGACUAGGAUAACUUCGGGAAACCAGAGCUAAUACCGGCUACUAUAUUGAACCGCAUGGUUCAAUAGUGAAAGACGGUUUUGCUGUCACUUAUAGAUUGAUCCGCGCCGCAUGAGCUAGUUGGUAAGGUAACGGCUUACCAAGGCAACGAUGCGUAGCCGACCUGAGAGGGGGAUCGGCCACACUGGAACUGAGACACGGUCCAGACUCCUACGGGAGGCAGCAGUAGGGAAUCUUCCGCAAUGGGCGAAAGCUUGACGGAGCAACGCCGCGUGAGUGAUGAAGGUCUUCGGAUCGUAAAACUCUGUUAUUAGGGAAGAACAAAUGUGUAAGUAACUAUGCACGUCUUGACGGUACCUAAUCAGAAAGCCACGGCUAACUACGUG